UACGAAGGGUGCAAACGUUGCUCGGAAUUAUUGGGCGUAAAGCGCACGUAGGCGGCUUUGCAAGUCCCAUGUGAAAUCCCACGGCUCAACCGUGGAAGUGCAUGGGAAACUGCAGAGCUUGAGUACUUAAGAAGAUCGCGGAAUUCCCGGUGUAGAGGUGAAAUUCGUAGAUAUCGGGAGGAACACCAGUGGCGAAGGCGGCGAUCUGGGAAGAUACUGACGCUGAGGUGCGAAAGCGUGGGGAGCAAACAGG
Molecule: ribosomal RNA, 253 nt
Filed under: uncultured bacterium
Lineage: Bacteria
Description: partial 16S ribosomal RNA
Rfam family: Bacterial small subunit ribosomal RNA
Source: RNAcentral